AAAUCAACUCUCAGCAACGGAUAUCUUGGCUCUUGCAACGAUGAAGAACGCAGCGAAAUGCGAUACGUAGUGUGAAUUGCAGAAUUCCGCGAAUCAUCGAGUCUUUGAACGCAAGUUGCGCCCGAGGCUUGACCAAGGGCAUUUCUGCCAGAGCGUCA
This 158-nucleotide ribosomal RNA is filed under the name Trichostomum austrocrispum. RNAcentral describes it as "5.8S ribosomal RNA". It matches the Rfam family "5.8S ribosomal RNA". Rfam says of the family: 5.8S ribosomal RNA (5.8S rRNA) is a component of the large subunit of the eukaryotic ribosome. It is transcribed by RNA polymerase I as part of the 45S precursor that also contains 18S and 28S rRNA. Functionally, it is thought that 5.8S rRNA may be involved in ribosome translocation. The record is from RNAcentral. Lineage: Eukaryota; Viridiplantae; Streptophyta; Bryopsida; Pottiales; Pottiaceae.